UACGGGGGGGGCAAGCGUUGUUCGGAAUUACUGGGCGUAAAGGGCUCGUAGGCGGCCAACUAAGUCGGAUGUGAAAUCCCCAGGCUUAACCUGGGAACUGCGUCUGAUACUGGAUGGCUUGAGUCCGGGAGAGGGAUGCAGAAUUCCAGGUGUAGCGGUGAAAUGCGUAGAUAUCUGGAGGAAUACCGGUGGCGAAGGCGGCAUCCUGGACCGGCAUUGACGCUGAUGAGCGAAAGCUAGGGGAGCAAACAGG
Molecule: ribosomal RNA, 253 nt
Filed under: uncultured bacterium
Lineage: Bacteria
Description: partial 16S ribosomal RNA
Rfam family: Bacterial small subunit ribosomal RNA
Source: RNAcentral